AUGCAGUUCCACUUGGCAACGGAAACCAUCCUGCAGCAGCUGGACAUCGCGCAAGAGAAAAGGGCACUUACUCCUUUAGAAUUCCAUCUGCGGAAGCUGUUGAAAUUGAAGAUCGUUGGCCUGGCUGCCCUCGAGCGCGCAAGAAAGAGGUAGGCCUCUCGGUUGUCGUGGCUCAAAGCAGGGGAUGCCAAGGCAGCUUUCUUCCAGGCCAAGAUCACGUCUAGAAGGAGAAAGAACUUCAUUCAGAGUUUGCAAAAGGGGGGCAGACAAGCAAUAGCACACGAUGACAAGGCGAAAAUGAUUCAUGAGCAUUUUCAAGAACUCCUCGGCGAGAAGAGAGUGCGUGCAUGCACCCUCAACUUGGCAGCACUGGACUUGCCGACUUUGGAUGGUCAGGGUCUGGAUAAUCCUUUCACUGAAGAUGAAGUG
RNAcentral lists this ribosomal RNA (429 nucleotides) under Triticum aestivum (bread wheat). RNAcentral's name for it is "partial small subunit ribosomal RNA". The record is from RNAcentral. Lineage: Eukaryota; Viridiplantae; Streptophyta; Magnoliopsida; Poales; Poaceae.